UGUCAGAGAAACAAUAGGAAGAUGGCGGU
Molecule: non-coding RNA, 29 nt
Filed under: Rattus norvegicus (Norway rat)
Lineage: Eukaryota; Metazoa; Chordata; Mammalia; Rodentia; Muridae
Source: RNAcentral